GACGAACGCUGGCGGCGUGCUUAACACAUGCAAGUCGAACGGUAAACCUCUUCGUAGGGGAUCAGUGGCGAACGGGUGAGUAACACGUGGGCAACCUGCCCCCGUCUCUGGGCUAACUCCAAGAAAUUGGGGCUAAUACCGGAUGGUCACCGCUUCCCUCACGGGUGGUUGGGGAAAGGGUUUUGGGGUUGGGAUGGGCCCGCGUUGGAUCAGCUGGUUGGUAGGGUUAGGUCCUACCAAGGCGACGACGGCUAGCCGGUCGGAGAGGAUGACCAGCCACGCCUGAACUGAGACACGGCCCAGACUCCUACGGGACGGAGCAGUAGGGAAUAUUAGACAAGGAGCGAAAGCGUAAUCAAGCAGUGCCGCGUGAGAGAUGAAGGCGUUAGUAUUGCAAAGCCCUUAGGCCCGAGAUGAAAGUGACAGUACCGGGAGAAGAAGCACCGGCUAACUCCGUG
Molecule: ribosomal RNA, 458 nt
Filed under: uncultured bacterium
Lineage: Bacteria
Description: partial 16S ribosomal RNA
Rfam family: Bacterial small subunit ribosomal RNA
Source: RNAcentral